UGGCGGACGGGUGAGUAACGCGUGGGUAACCUGCCUUGUACUGGGGGACAACAGUUAGAAAUGACUGCUAAUACCGUAUAAGCGCACAGUAUCGCAUGAUACAGUGUGAAAAACUCCGGUGGUACAAGAUGGACCCGCGUCCGAUUAGCUAGUUGGUAAGGUAACGGCUUACCAAGGCGACGAUCAGUAGCCGACCUGAGAGGGUGACCGGCCACAUUGGGACUGAGACACGGCCCAA
This 238-nucleotide ribosomal RNA is filed under the name uncultured bacterium. RNAcentral's name for it is "partial 16S ribosomal RNA". It matches the Rfam family "Bacterial small subunit ribosomal RNA", at positions 96 to 334 of the family's 1533-position model. The record is from RNAcentral.